RNAcentral lists this ribosomal RNA (394 nucleotides) under Saurida macrolepis. Its description in RNAcentral is "partial large subunit ribosomal RNA". It matches the Rfam family "Bacterial large subunit ribosomal RNA", at positions 2054 to 2597 of the family's 2925-position model. The record is from RNAcentral. Lineage: Eukaryota; Metazoa; Chordata; Actinopteri; Aulopiformes; Synodontidae.
UGCAGAAGCGGGAAUGCUCCCAUAAGACGAGAAGACCCUAUGGAGCUUUAGACAUCAAGCAGCCCACAAAAACAACCCAUACCAGUGGCCAUAGAACAACGUGGAACCCUGCUGAACUGUCUUCGGUUGGGGCGACCGUGGGAUAUAAAAAACCUCCCAUGAGGACCGGGAAAACCUUCCCAAAACCAAGGGCUACCGCCCUAAGCAACAGAAACUCUGACCUUCAUGAUCCGGCCUACCGGCCGAUCAACGGACCGAGUUACCCUAGGGAUAACAGCGCAAUCCCCUCCUAGAGCCCCCAUCGACGAGAGGGUUUACGACCUCGAUGUUGGAUCAGGACAUCCUAAUGGUGCAGCCGCUAUUAAGGGUUCGUUUGUUCAACGAUUAAAGUCCU